Ornithorhynchus anatinus (platypus) is the source of this 235-nucleotide long non-coding RNA. RefSeq lists it as uncharacterized. NCBI's taxonomy places the organism in Eukaryota, Metazoa, Chordata, Mammalia, Monotremata, Ornithorhynchidae. The record is from RefSeq and is a predicted model, not a curated record. The transcript is spliced from 2 exons.
UGUGAACUUGAUUUUACGCCGAACGUGGACCUGUUAAAACUCCCUAAAAAUGAUUUUUGUUUCAUAGUAAACAGACUUGAUUUAAAGCACCAAAGUAUAAAUUCCUAAAGCACCUGGAAGAAAUGUAACACUGCACCAAGGCAAGGCUUAAAGUCAACGGUAGGAAGGAGCCUUCAGACCCAACGGUUGUACGGCCCGGCGACUUGAGUGAGAGCGUAAGAAGACACUGUGAUGA